This 74-nucleotide transfer RNA is filed under the name Nitrososphaerota archaeon. RNAcentral describes it as "Thaumarchaeota archaeon tRNA-Lys". It matches the Rfam family "tRNA". Rfam says of the family: Transfer RNA (tRNA) molecules are approximately 80 nucleotides in length. Their secondary structure includes four short double-helical elements and three loops (D, anti-codon, and T loops). Further hydrogen bonds mediate the characteristic L-shaped molecular structure. tRNAs have two regions of fundamental functional importance: the anti-codon, which is responsible for specific mRNA codon recognition, and the 3' end, to which the tRNAs corresponding amino acid is attached (by aminoacyl-tRNA synthetases). tRNAs cope with the degeneracy of the genetic code in two manners: having more than one tRNA (with a specific anti-codon) for a particular amino acid; and 'wobble' base-pairing, i.e. permitting non-standard base-pairing at the 3rd anti-codon position. The record is from RNAcentral. Lineage: Archaea; Thermoproteati; Nitrososphaerota.
GGGCCUGUGGCGCAGCCAGGUAGCGCAUCGGACUUUUAAUCCGGUAGUCGUGGGUUCGAAUCCCGCCAGGCCCG